Molecule: unclassified non-coding RNA, 1043 nt
Filed under: Hevea brasiliensis (rubber tree)
Lineage: Eukaryota; Viridiplantae; Streptophyta; Magnoliopsida; Malpighiales; Euphorbiaceae
Source: RNAcentral
UGGCUUUGUAUGAUAAGAGAACUAGGCUCACAAAAUUUUCCUUCUUAAUCUUGAAACAAUGAUAUUGUAAAAAAUUUUGAGAACACAAUUGUCCUAAAACAUUGGAGCAAUUAUCCCAAACUAGACCUAGUCAUCUCAUAUGCCAAGAAGCAAGCUGCAUUUGCUGGGAUGCUACGCGUUAUAGCAGGUCCAAACCCCUUGUAAAGGCCUUUGACACCUUCUGAGGCCAAAAUCUUUUUAAGAGCAUCAAAAGAGCCAGAGUAUUUCGCGUUUCUAUAAUCAUCAACUUGAAUUACGCUCUUAAUAACAUCUGUCGGAUACACUGCAAACCAGACUGAACCACCAGCCAAGCCUCCAGCUACUAUAAGAGAACCCCUUCCUAGCCCAGAAGUAUCCAUCCCUCCUGCAAAGUACUGCUUUAACGCUUCAUAUACACCAAACAUAACAGCAUUUCCCGGUACUUCUCGUGCCAGGGUGGGGCACAUACCCUUGAAGAGACCCCUUACACCUCCUUCUGAACGGAGAACGUGUCUUGCAACAUCCAUUGGCCCUGUAUACUUUAUGGCCGCAGAGGCUGAUCCUACACUUGCCAAUGCGCUGUGCGCUUGCAACCUGCAUUUUAUGAGUUCAGUCGGGCAGGCAAGAAAUGAUGCAGCAGUUCCAGCAACAGCCCCACAAAGGAUUUGUUGCUUGACAGUAAGAGGAGCUCCCGGUUCAGACCUUAACAGGGCCUCAGUUUGACCUCUAACAGUGAAAAGCAAAGCGUUGAAGGCGGCUACAGUGGCAAGUGGAGCUCCCAUGCCUUUGUAUAACCCCCUUGGACCUUCAGAGGCCACUGUUUUCCUGACAGCAUCUAUGGCCCCUGCAUACUUAGGAGGUUGCCCUGGAAGUGGAGUAGGCUGGCUUUGGAGCUUGACUUUGAUGGUAUCAAAAGGGUGCCCAACUAUCAAUUGUGCUGCUCCUCCAACAGUACCAGCGGUUAAAUCCUUCACUAUAUCCAUCUGUAAGAAGAUGGAAAUGGGAGAGAUUGAAGCAGAUCUCAA